RNAcentral lists this small nuclear RNA (106 nucleotides) under Cervus hanglu yarkandensis (Yarkand deer). The record is from RNAcentral. Lineage: Eukaryota; Metazoa; Chordata; Mammalia; Artiodactyla; Cervidae.
GUGCUCGCUUCGGCAGCACACAUACUAAAAUUGGAACGAUACAGAGAAGAUUAGCUUGGCCCCUGCGCAAGGAUGACACGCAAAUUGUGACGCAUUCCAUAUUUUU